This 301-nucleotide ribosomal RNA is filed under the name uncultured bacterium. RNAcentral describes it as "partial 16S ribosomal RNA". It matches the Rfam family "Bacterial small subunit ribosomal RNA", at positions 509 to 807 of the family's 1533-position model. The record is from RNAcentral.
CAGCCGCCGCGGUAAUACGGAGGAUCCGAGCGUUAUCCGGAAUUAUUGGGUUUAAAGGGUGCGUAGGCGGAUAGAUAAGUCAGUGGUGAAAGACGGUGGCUCAACCAUCGCAGUGCCGUUGAUACUGUUUAUCUUGAAUAUGGAUGAGGUAGGCGGAAUGUGGCAAGUAGCGGUGAAAUGCAUAGAUAUGCCACAGAACACCGAUUGCGAAGGCAGCUUACCAAGGCAAAAUUGACGCUGAGGCACGAAAGCGUGGGGAUCGAACAGGAUUAGAUACCCCCGUAGUCCCUGUCUCUUAUAC